GCACCCUUUUAGCUCAAUGGUUGAGCGUUGGCUUUGAGAGCUACAGGUUGGUGGCUCGAGCCUCCAGGGCACA
This 73-nucleotide transfer RNA is filed under the name Phytophthora infestans T30-4. Its description in RNAcentral is "tRNA-Ser". It matches the Rfam family "tRNA". From Rfam's summary of the family: Transfer RNA (tRNA) molecules are approximately 80 nucleotides in length. Lineage: Eukaryota; Oomycota; Peronosporomycetes; Peronosporales; Peronosporaceae. The record is from RNAcentral.